Non-coding RNA from Trichobilharzia regenti, 45 nucleotides. The record is from Rfam. NCBI's taxonomy places the organism in Eukaryota, Metazoa, Platyhelminthes, Trematoda, Strigeidida, Schistosomatidae.
AUACAUCUGACGGGUCACAAAUAUGACGAAAUGUGCAUCCUGGAU